This 429-nucleotide ribosomal RNA is filed under the name Acidobacteriota bacterium. RNAcentral describes it as "Acidobacteria bacterium partial 16S ribosomal RNA". It matches the Rfam family "Bacterial small subunit ribosomal RNA", at positions 355 to 776 of the family's 1533-position model. Lineage: Bacteria; Pseudomonadati; Acidobacteriota. The record is from RNAcentral.
UGGGGAAUUUUGGACAAUGGGGGAAACCCUGAUCCAGCCAUCCCGCGUGUGCGAUGAAGGCCUUCGGGUUGUAAAGCACUUUUGGCAGGAAAGAAACGCCAUGGGUUAAUACCCCGUGAAACUGACGGUACCUGCAGAAUAAGCACCGGCUAACUACGUGCCAGCAGCCGCGGUAAUACGUAGGGUGCAAGCGUUAAUCGGAAUUACUGGGCGUAAAGCGUGCGCAGGCGGUUCGGAAAGAAAGAUGUGAAAUCCCAGAGCUCAACUUUGGAACUGCAUUUUUGACUACCGGGCUAGAGUGUGUCAGAGGGAGGUGGAAUUCCGCGUGUAGCAGUGAAAUGCGUAGAUAUGCGGAGGAACACCGAUGGCGAAGGCAGCCUCCUGGGAUAACACUGACGCUCAUGCACGAAAGCGUGGGGAGCAAACAGG